GGAAGAUACAAAAUAAUCAGGUUGGACACAGUCCCUGUCCCACAUAAUGCUCACAUUCUUAAUCCCCAUUUUCCAGAUGAGGGAACUGAGGCACAGAGAAGACAAGUGAUUUGCCCAAUCACACAGCGGACUAGUGGGGGAGCCCGAAUUAGAACCCAUGACCUUCUGACUCUCAGGCCCGUGCUCUAACCAUUAGGCCACGCUCGCUGUUUCUAAUGAGCACGAGGGUGCUAUGAGGCCAUAUCACAGGAAACCACCUUGACCCAGCCUUACGCCGAGGAGGAAGAGGGAAUCGUCACAAAGAGCUGAUUUGAAAUGAUGCCGGAGUCGACGCCGUUUGUCUGGCCCCUAUCCCGAGGAAGAAAAACGAAUCGCCUCUCCAUAACAACGGCAUCUGGGAGGCGAAGGAGGUUCAGGUGCAAGGAAGAGGCCGGUCGUGAGAGAAUCAGGAACGAGGCACCGAGGAAUGAGCUUGGAAGAAACGGAGAGUGGAGAAAUAGGAGGGAGAGAAGAUCAAGAGCCUUAAGGCAGGGCGGCCUAGUGGAUAUGACCCCGGGCCUCGGAGUCAGAGGACCUGGGUUCUAAUCCCGGCUCUGCCACUUGUCUUCAGGGUGACCUGGGCAAGGCACUUCCCUUCUCCCGGCCUCGGUUUCGUCAUCUGUAAAAUGUGGACUCGAUUAGCCUGGGAGCCCCAAGUGGAACAAGAACUGCUUAUGGCUAGAUUAGUUUGUAUCUACCUCAGAGUUUAGCACAGUUCUUAUCACCUAGUAAGCAGUCUACAAAUACCAUAUAUACCAAAAACAGAGACCACGAGAAACCUUCGGAGAUUUUUGAGGAGUGAUGAGCGUGGUGAAGUAGACAGAGCCCAGCCCUGGGAGUCAGAAGAUCACGGGUUCUAAUCCCGGCUCCACCACUUGUCUGCUAUGUGACCUUGGGCAAAUCACUUCACUUCUCUGUGCCUCCGUUCCCUCGACUGUAAAAUGGGGAUUGAGACUGUGAGCCCAUGUGGGACGGGGACUGUGUCAACCCGAUUUGCUGGUAUCCAUCCCAGUGCUUAGUACAGUGCCUGAAACAUAGUAAGCGCUUUAACAAACACCAUGUACAGAGUGACAUGGGGAAAGUGUGAACCGAUUACCAGAGUGAGGUACUGACUGGAGAAGGGAGGGGCCGGAGGUGGAGAGAUGGUCGAGCGGGCUGACAGAGCAGUCGAGCUAAGAUUUCUAAUCCCACCUCCUCCACUUAUCUGCUGUGUGACCUUGGGCGAGUUAUUUCACUUCUCUUUGCCUCAGUUACCUCAUCUGUCAAAUGGUUAUUGAGACAGUGAGCCCCGUGUAGGAGAGGGACUGUGUCCAUCCUGAUUACCUUUUACUCCAGUGCUUUCGAACAGUGCUUAGCACUGAGUGAACCCUUAACAAAUGUCAGAAUUGUUAUUAUUAUCAUCAUUAUCAUUUUGACCAGAUCAGGCUGGAUGAGCAAGGGUGGUGGCUAUUUGGAGAGAAAGGAAUGGGUAGCCUGACUAAGUGGAUAGAGCCUGGGCCUGGGAGCCAGAGGACCUGGGUUCUAAUCUCAGCUCCACCACUUGUCUGCUGUGUGACCUUGAGGAAGUCACUUCACUUCUCUGUGCCUCCAUUACCUCAUCUGCAAAAUGGAGAUCGAGACUGUGAGCCCCAUGUGGGACUGGGGCUGUAUACAACCCAAUUAUCUUAUAUCUAUCCCAACAUUUAACAUGGUGCCUGACACAUAGUAAGUAUUUAACAAAUACCACAAUCAUCUGUAAAAUGGAAAUUUAGACCGUGAGCCCUUUGGGGGACAGAGACAGUGUCCCACCCAAUUUUUUUUGUAUCCACCUCAGCACUCACUACAGUGCCUGGCACAUAGUAAGUGCUUAACAAAAACCACAGUUAUUUGGGAGGGAAGAUGAAGAGUUCAAUUUUAGGCCUAUAUACUUGAGCUGCCAAAGGGAAUAUCUUUUUUAUUUAUUUAUUUAUUUAUUUUAAUUUUAUUUUAUUUAUUUUGUUAAUGAGAUUUACAUCACCUUGAUUCUAUUUAUUUGCUAUUGUUUUAAUGAGAUGUUCAUCUCCUUGAUUCUAUUUAUUGCUAUUGUUUUUGUCUGUCUGUCUCCCCCGAUUAGACUGCUAGUACAGUGCUCUGCACAUAGUAAGCACUCAAUAAAUACUAUUGAAUGAAUGAAUGAAUGAAUGAAUAUCAGACAUCACUGUUACUUAUAUGUUAGUUAUUUAUUUACUUAGAUGUCAUUUAUUUAUACUAAUGUCUGUCUCCCCUUCUAGACCAACACUGUAGAAUCAUACUCUCCCAAUCACUUAAUACAGUGCUCUGCACAGAGGAAGCGCUCAAAAAUUAUUAGUGAUGAUGAUGAUGAUUGAUGAGAUGUUUCGCAAGCAAGAGGAAAUGUGAGAUUGCAAAUAGGGAGAGAGGUCGAGGAUGACAAGAUUGAUUACGAGAGGCAGCACGGCUUAGUGGAGAGAGCACAGACCUGGGAGUCAAAAGGACGUGGGUUCUAAUACCGGCUCUGCCAUUUUUCUGUUGUAUGACCUUGGGCAAGUCAUUUCACUUCUCUGAGCCUCCGUUACCUCAUUUAGACUGUGAGCCCGUCACUGGGCAGGGAUUGUCUCUAUCUGUUGCCGAAUUGUACAUUCCAAGCG
RNAcentral lists this long non-coding RNA (2663 nucleotides) under Ornithorhynchus anatinus (platypus). RNAcentral's name for it is "lncRNA (ENSOANG00000041562.1)". The record is from RNAcentral. Lineage: Eukaryota; Metazoa; Chordata; Mammalia; Monotremata; Ornithorhynchidae.